CCAGGCAACUUACUCGCCGGUCUUUGGCAGCAGCGAACGGCAACGAACCGCGUGGUGCCGAAGGCGAGAGACGACGGUGGAGCCUUGCGGCAGCUACUGAAACGGGCUUGGAGCGCGGUGGUGGUAUUUGGCUUCGGCUUUGUAGCGGUCUCCAGCUUCUUCUCAGCGGGCGUAGCAGUAGUCGGAAAUCAAUCUCUGUUUCUUGGUGAUUUUAGGCUCUUCGGCAAUCGGCAUCUCCAGAUGGCUGUGACCACUGCUGCUUCUCUUCGGCCAGCAACGGAGCCGCCUGUCCUCUCCUUUAAACAAACAAACUCCCUUAUCCAGUCUUUGUUCACCAAACAAUCAAAGGGAGUAUUUUCCAGCUGCCAAGUUUCGGAUAUUUGAUGGCAAUGGGAGCUUGGAAGCUUGUGUUAAAGAUUGGCAUAGUCUCAUUAAUCAACUUCAUGGCGGAUUUUGCCCCAAACGAGAUGCUUUGAGUAUUUGCAAAGUUCGAAAUCUAUUGUCUUCUUUCUUUCAGUCUUGACAUCUCCAUCAGCCCGACUAAAGACCAUCCUCAGAGAGUUCAUCCAAAAAUCUGGCAGCAGCCCAUCUAAGACUUUAUUUGAGUGAUGUUUACUUUGCACUUCAGGUGGCUCAAUUGGCUUUUAAUCAGAUUUCGGGUGCGCUCGGAUCUGGGCCAUUGUGAGUCCAACCUUUGAAGAUUGUUGGUUACAUUUUCUCUUUGCGCGCAUUCGAGCAGGCUAGAUGACUCAAUGGUGUUCUAUUAUGUUUGGCGAACAUGUGUUUCAACUCCACGAGCGCAUUCAACUUUAGCUUGGAGAGAAGUGAAUUUGUCGAUGCAUAGCCGACCUCAAUGCCAGAUGACUCAAUUCUUUGACAGGUCUUGGGUGCGCUCAGGCCUGGGAUUGUUUGAAUCUGGUUUGAGCGAGGUUGUUGUUAUGUUUGGCAUCUCACGAAGUUGGGAGAAUUCUGCACAACGGCUCGAGAAGAUUGAGUAUUUUCUUCUUGAUGCUUAAGCCAAGGAGAAUGAAGCCAUCGUCCGAAUUGCUUUGAUCAAGGAAGUGCUUGCUAUGAUAGAGAGGUGGAAGACAGAGAUGACGUUGUCCUUCAAGCAAGAUAGUGCCUCCUUUCAUAUUGUCCGAGGUGCAAUCCCAGAAUUCAAAAGAGAUUUUGACAAACAUAAAGUUGCACAUGUUGAUGAGAAAAUGCUGCGGAAUUUUGAAGACUUCAGAGUCACUUUUGAUCUCUGCUCAGAGAACUUUGGAGGAUCAAGACCCAUUUGCUUAGUAUUGAUGCAAACCGCAGUUUCUAUCAUUUCUCUCUUGAUGAUUCUUAUUUGGUUUGUGAUGGAUAUUUUGACAUCUUCUCCAAA
Salvia miltiorrhiza (redroot sage) is the source of this 1372-nucleotide long non-coding RNA. RefSeq lists it as uncharacterized. NCBI's taxonomy places the organism in Eukaryota, Viridiplantae, Streptophyta, Magnoliopsida, Lamiales, Lamiaceae. The record is from RefSeq and is a predicted model, not a curated record. The transcript has 2 exons.